AUCCUGGCUCAGGAUAAAACGCUGGCGGCGCACAUAAGACAUGCAAGUCGAACGGAAGUCGUUAUAAAUGAAUUGAAGAUUUAUCUGAUUGAAGUUUGUAACAAUGGCUUUAGUGGCGGACUGGUGAGUAACGCGUAAGUAAUCUACCUAUUAGAGGGGAAUAACAAUGAGAAAUCAUUGCUAAUACCGCAUAUGCCAUAGUGAAGGCAUCUUCAUAGUGGGAAAGGAGCAAUCCGCUAAUAGAUGAACUUGCGUCUGAUUAGUUAGUUGGUGGGGUAACGGCCUACCAAGACGACGAUCAGUAGCCGGACUGAGAGGUUGAACGGCCACAUUGGGACUGAGAUACGGCCCAGACUCCUACGGGAGGCAGCAGUCGGGAAUAUUGCGCAAUGGAGGAAACUCUGACGCAGUGACGCCGCGUAUAGGAAGAAGGUUUUCGGAUUGUAAACUAUUGUCGUUAGGGAAGAAAAAUGACAGUACCUAAGGAGGAAGCUCCGGCUAACUACGUGCC
Molecule: ribosomal RNA, 511 nt
Filed under: uncultured bacterium
Lineage: Bacteria
Description: bacterial SSU rRNA
Rfam family: Bacterial small subunit ribosomal RNA
Source: RNAcentral